This 466-nucleotide ribosomal RNA is filed under the name uncultured bacterium. Its description in RNAcentral is "partial 16S ribosomal RNA". It matches the Rfam family "Bacterial small subunit ribosomal RNA", at positions 28 to 507 of the family's 1533-position model. The record is from RNAcentral.
GAUGAACGCUGGCGGCGUGCUUAACACAUGCAAGUCGAACGAUGAAGCCCAGCUUGCUGGGUGGAUUAGUGGCGAACGGGUGAGUAACACGUGAGUAACCUGCCCUUAACUCUGGGAUAAGCCUGGGAAACUGGGUCUAAUACCGGAUAGGAGCGUCCACCGCAUGGUGGGUGUUGGAAAGAUUUAUCGGUUUUGGAUGGACUCGCGGCCUAUCAGCUUGUUGGUGAGGUGAUGGCUCACCAAGGCGACGACGGGUAGCCGGCCUGAGAGGGUGACCGGCCACACGGGGACUGAGACACGGCCCAGACUCCUACGGGAGGCAGCAGUGGGGAAUAUUGCACAAUGGGCGCAAGCCUGAUGCAGCGACGCCGCGUGAGGGAUGACGGCCUUCGGGUUGUAAACCUCUUUCAGUAGGGAAGAAGCGAAAGUGACGGUACCUGCAGAAGAAGCACCGGCUAACUACGUG